Mus musculus (house mouse) is the source of this 3480-nucleotide RNA transcript. It is a transcript of the gene named SAP30 binding protein, with no coding region annotated. The record is from RefSeq and is marked validated. The transcript has 12 exons. Lineage: Eukaryota; Metazoa; Chordata; Mammalia; Rodentia; Muridae.
AGCCACACCGCGCUGUGGGAGUAAGAUGGCGGGGAAGAAAAAUGUUUUGUCGUCUCUUGCAAUUUAUGCGGAAUAUUCAGACCCUGAAUCUGAUGGCGAAACUGGAGUCGACGCUGUAGGCGGAGCGACUGAGGAGAAAGGUGGUUUGGUAUCUGACGCCUAUGGAGAAGAUGACUUCUCUCGCCCAGGGGGUGAUGAGGAUGGUUAUGAAGAAGAGGAGGACGAGAACAGUAAGCAGUCGGAAGAUGACGAUUCAGAGACUGAAAAACCUGAGGCUGAUGACCCAAAGGAUAACACAGAAGCAGAGAAGCGGGAUCCCCAGGAAUUAGUGGCCUCCUUUUCUGAAAGGGUUCGCAACAUGUCACCCGAUGAAAUCAAGAUCCCACCAGAACCGCCUGGCAGAUGUUCAAAUCACCUACAAGAUAAGAUCCAGAAGCUCUACGAGCGGAAGAUAAAGGAGGGGAUGGAUAUGAACUACAUCAUCCAGAGGAAGAAGGAGUUCCGCAACCCCAGCAUCUACGAGAAACUGAUCCAGUUCUGUGCCAUUGAUGAGCUGGGCACCAACUACCCAAAGGAUAUGUUCGAUCCCCACGGCUGGUCUGAAGACUCCUACUAUGAGGCAUUAGCCAAGGCCCAGAAGAUUGAAAUGGACAAAUUAGAAAAGGCCAAAAAGGAGCGAACCAAAAGCCCUGGUGGCUUUGUCUCUUAGAGUUCUUUGAUGCCUCCCCAGCCUGAUCAGAAGUUGGUCUUCCUUCUGAGAGUCCCACAUAAGCUGCCACGUUGGACACCAAGCGCCACUUAUGUAGCAGUGUCAUCAGAGGGACUCUUUCAGGAGCUUCAGAUCCCCAGACUGUUAGCUGGACAUCAGGACACCUCCUCCUCCUAUUGAGUUUGUAACGGGCACCAAGAAAGGCACCACGACCAAUGCCACGGCCACCAGCACCAGUACUGCCAGCACAGCUGUCGCAGAUGCCCAGAAGAGGAAGAGCAAGUGGGACUCUGCCAUCCCCGUGACGACAAUAGCACAGCCCACCAUCCUCACCACCACAGCCACCCUGCCAGCAGUGGUCACUGUCACCACUAGUGCCAGUGGCUCCAAGACCACCGUCAUCUCUGCUGUGGGCACCAUCGUGAAGAAGGCCAAGCAGUGACCAGAGGAUGCCCCAGGACUGGCAGUGACCAGAGGAUACCCCAGGCCUGGCAGGACUACAGUCCAGUAGCUUCCACCCACUGGGAGGUGCCACUCUGUGUGUUUAGGACUGAGAUGCACUCCCCACAUGCCUUCCAAGAGGAGCCUCUGUGACAUUCCAGCCGGAAGGACAUUACAGCAGAGGCAAUGGUGUGCACUGGACAGGGUUUGUCCAGACACCUCUUGGGUUUCACCCAAUUAAAAGUACUGCUUCUUGGAUCCUGGCAUGUCAGGUGGACUGGCCUCUCCCAUGCUGUGUUCGGGCAAACCUGAAGUUCAGGUGCCUCUCGCGACAGUCAAGAUGUUGCUCAGGAUGAACAGUGCUUGACAGGCCAUAGGGGUGCUCAGAGGGGCAGCCCAGGGAGCAACCGUGCUCAUUCCCAGUGUAUGCCCAGGGCAUGGGCAGGUGGGAGCUCAAGGAGGGGCCAGACACAUCCUUUCCUGUUGUCUGUUUUCCUAUUUUCCUGAUCCUCAACAAUUCACAACAAUUCUCAGGCAAUAGCAGAGGCCGCUGCUCUCUUGGGUGCAGUUAAACACUCCCUACAGUGCUUCUGAUACACACCCAGGCUUUUGAAAUCAGGCCAGAUAACAGAGGGCUGGGAUGUGAUUCCCAACCUGCCCAGGGCAGGAGCAAAGUGUGGGCACCUGGCCAAGGCCGCCCCAGCCCCUCAGUGCCCAGUGAGUGUGGCCAGCAGGAUCCACGCAGUGGUAGAGAUGAAUCACCUCCUGCUCUGGCCAGGGCAGCGGCUCAUUGUUUAUGUAAAGGCUGUGCUCGUGGGAAGGUCUCUGCCACCCCACCCUUCCUAUGUCGUUAUCUCUGCCCAGCAGCAGCCCCUGGGUAGCACCAGUGGCCACUCUUAGGGCCAGGAUCCACCAGCCCAGCGCCAGACAGUGGGAAGACUUGUCUUUUGUGCCCCCUGGCAGCUCUCCUUCACACUCAGCGGAAGGGCUGAGUGUCAAAAGAGGAAGUGGGGCUGUGAAGGGUCCCCAUGCUUUCGUGGGACCAACAGAGACACAGCCUCUGACGUUGUGUUUGGUAUUUGUGUGACCUGGGGACUGACACGCUGCCCAUGAAAUCUCUAAAAUGAAAACCCAGUCACUGUUCCUUUCUGUCCUUGGGUGCACUCUGUGUCCUGAGCAUCUCUGGAAAGGUCUACCCUGCAGGGGGCUCAGGGCACCCAGGUCUGAGUAGGCAGCUCAGGAGAUAGGAGGGCACCAGCACCUUGGCUCUGGAGUCCAGUCUGCAGCAGCCCUGAACCAGUCCUGAGGAGCCUCAGUAACAAUUCCUGCGGGUGUUGGGAGGGGUCUAAGAUGGUGAAGCAGGAGCUUUGCAAAGCUGAUAUGAGAUCAGCCACAUCCGACCAAGAACCAAUUAGAUAGGGUCUCAUGGAGCCGAGGCUUUCAACAUCUGACCCUCCUGCCCCUUCUUCCCAAGGGCUGGGAUUACGGACAUGAAUCGUCACACUUAGUUUAUAUGGUGUGCACGAUUGAAUCCAGGACUUCCUGCAUGCUAGGCAAACGCCACUUCUGUCAGGAAUGUGUGGGGAUGGGAUGCUGAGGACUGGGCUGUUCACUGGGCGUCUCCAGACUGUCACUGCUGCCAGUUGACCGCCUUCUUUUCUGUAGCUCAGGAUCCAGGCUGAGGGAUUGCAGCAGCCCACGUUUGGUGUGUGUCCUCCAGUUACCCUAUCAGCGGAGUCCUUCAGGGCCAUGCUCAGAAGCUGGGUAAUCCCCACAGGUUUGUCUGGAGGCUUGCCUGCUGAGAUUGAGCGCCAACCAUCACAGAGUGGUGGGUGCUUCUGCCUCUUGGACUGUGGUCACCUGACUCGGUUCGACACCCCUUGUCCCAGGUUCACUCUGACUGGAUUCCUGAGUCUUGGCUUGAGUAAGGCCUACCACUGUGCUGUAGGCCAAGCGAUAGGCAGGCCACUAUUUUGUGCUUUGCACUUUUAUAUGUUAGGGUGCUUGGGAUCAAACCCGGGCUUCCUGUUCUACCACUGAGCCAAUUCCAGGUUCCAGACCCUUCUGAAGAGGAAAGGUGUUGCCCAGACUAGCCUCAAAUGAGUCUCUUGCCCCUGCCUACCAAGGGCUGGAAUUAUAGGUGUAAAUGCAUACGAGGCUUGGUUUUGUUUGGUUUCAGCAGGGGGUGGUAAGGAAUCAAGACAGAAUUUCUCUAUGUAAUGGCCCUGGUUGUCCUGGAACUCACUGUGUAGACCAGGCUGGCAUUGAACUAACAGGAGUUCCUCCUGAGUCUGCCUCCCAAGUGCUGGGAUUAAAGCUGUGCACCACCA